AGAGGGGCGAGCAUGUAAAUGUAAGCGGAUCUCAAAAAAAGCCAUCCCAGUUCGGAUUGUGGGCUGCAACCCGCCCACAUGAAGUUGGAGUUGCUAGUAAUCGCGGAUCAGCAUGCCGCGGUGAAUGCGUUCCCGGGUCUUGUACACACCGCCCGUCAGACCAUGAGAGUUGGCAACACCCGAAGUCGGUAGUCUAACCGCAAGGAGGACGCCGCCGAAGGUGGGGUUGAUGAUUAGGGUUAAGUCGUAACAAGGUAUC
This 259-nucleotide ribosomal RNA is filed under the name uncultured bacterium. RNAcentral's name for it is "partial 16S ribosomal RNA". It matches the Rfam family "Bacterial small subunit ribosomal RNA", at positions 1243 to 1500 of the family's 1533-position model. The record is from RNAcentral.